GCUGAGUGUAGUGCGGGAGACUGCACAGGGCCUGGAGAGCAGAGUCCUCUCCCUGAACCGUUGUCUCUGCAAAGCAUGCAAACAUUUGUUUACCAAACAAACAUUUGCUUUUCCAUCUCCAUGGGCAUUGCCUUCCUCCCCUUUGAAGUCCCAAACACCACCCCCAACAUCCUCUUCUGUCUUUAGCUGAAGAUGGUAUUUAAGGAGAUGACUUCAGCCAUUUGGGGGAGUAACUUGGUUUUCCUGGGUCUCUUCCAUGAAUCCAUGUUGUUAAACUUUGUUUUCUCCUGUUAGCCUGUCUCAAGUCGAUUUAAUUCGUAGACCAGCCAGAAGAACCUAGAAGGGUACAGGAAUAGUUCUUCCUCCCAAACACAGGCAAAGGCAGUGUCUUCUGCUCAGCAUCUUGCGCCUGCCCUCACCUCCCCACAGCUCCCGUGGAGACUCCUGCAGAUGAAGGGUCAGCACAAAGUGUGGAGGCAGAUGAGGCAGGGGAAGCAUUUCCACCUUGGCUCACUGGUCUCAGGCGUCUGGCCCCAGCUCUGGCUUUGCAGGCUCUGCGCGUGCCCCUCAGCCUCAGCACUCCGCUCGGAACCUGUGCUUACUUCCACUCACCUGCCCAUCGCUCCCCCGGUCGCCCCUGCUUUUUGGGUUGGAUGCCAUGGGGCAGAGGAAACUCGCUGUCUCAUGAGCAAGGAUGCAAAGUUUGAGGAAUAUCCAUGAUUUUCCUGGUUGGGCCUUUCUGGGUGCAUUUUCCUGUAACAUUAUAAGAGGUGUUUCCCCACUACAAUUAUAUUCCAUUGUGAUGACAAAUUUUUCAGGUAACCUCAACAUUACUUAUAGUGUUUGAAGGGAAAAAUAUGUUCUAGGUGGCAAGAAACUUUUACUGUACAUGGUGCUUAAAUAUGGUUCUGCCUGAAUGAUGUUAUCCUGUAAUUAAGGAUGUCUUCUGGGGAUGAUUGGGGUUUCGCCCUCUCCAGAAGAUGUUAGCUGACACAUCUGCUGUUGCUGUGCAUUUUAUGUAGCAGACCCACAAGCUUUAGUCUGGAAAGGAUCCACCCACUUUGGGUAGGUUUUUUUUUUUUAGGAAGAUUAGCCCUGAGGUAACAUCUGCCAAUCCUCCUCUUUUUGCUGAGGAAGACUGGCCCUGAGUUAACAUCUAUGCCCAUCUUCCUUCACUUUAUAUGUGGGACACCUACCACAGCAUGGCUUGAUAAGCGGUGCCAUGUCCGCACCCGGAAUCCGAACCAGCAAACUCCGGGCCGCCAAAGCAGAACCCACGAACUUAACCGCUGCACCACCAGGCCGGCCCCUGGAUGUUGGAAGAAGAAAAAUCUACAGAGAACUUAAAAUGUGUUAUUUCAAUGAAUGCCUCAAAAAUUUCUGAGGUGAAGCUGCCUACAUUUGUUGCAGGAUUUUCAUUAUAUACCUUAGCUUUGUUAAAGAGUAAAUAUUUCAUACCUCAGAAGUUUAAAAUGAUAGAUGUCUACUUGCAAUGGUGUAACCUUUUUUUUCCUUUUUUUGGAAAUUAGUUAAUUAAUGGGAAUGUUUUGCUUUCGGUUCCAAUUGCCCUUAAUGAAGCUCAAGUUACUGGAGCAACGAUGAGGCCAGCAGAACCUCAGAUGUAGAAGGAAGAUGCUUAGCUUGAGAUCAAGAAGAAACAUGGAACAACUGUUAUUGUCGGAGAGUUUGCAGUUCUUUUAGGAGUCAAUGACAAGGGAAAAGCCCACUGCAGGCAGCGAAGGGGGAGCAUCCUGCCCCAGAGUAAACGCAAGGUGGGAGGGGGGACUUGCCUUGGUGCAAAAAGGCAGAGACUCCCUUUUCUUUCAGAGUAUUUACUUUAGAAAAUUUGUAAUUGUAAAUUCUUUGUCUCUUUGAAAUGUAUGUAAGUCUUUUUUAAAAGCUAAAUAAGCCUCUUGCCAGCUUUAGGACCCAGGAACGUGUUUCUCAAGGACCUGGGAACGUUACAUCACUGAAAUGGGAUCACGGGGAAGAGUCCCUGACAAUGCUCUCACCUCCCAGGUCUCUGUGGCAGCGAGGAGGCUGACACUGGGAGCUGCAAGUCUGGGGAAUGUGGGAGAGAAAUUAGGAGGCAGAGCAGACAGAAGCGCCCACCUAAAUGGCCCCCUCCCAACUGGAUGCCGUGUACUCCUAAUGGUUUUAUCCCUAGCAUCAAGAAAAGGACCUGGCUUGUAGUCUUGUAUCCUGUGUACCAGAUAAGAGUUGAGGUCACUGUCCUCAGAUUAGAUAGGAACUGUUUACUUCUCUUCCCACUUGAACUUGGGUAUGGUUUUUAAGGGCUAUUCAAUGCCUGCAUCCUUCAUUGUUUGUGCCUGCCACUUCCCCCAGCCGGCCUGGUGGGAGAUGCUGGGACAUGUGUGAUGAGGACCCCUGAGGGGGCCCACAGGGCUGCUCCCCAUCUCAGCAUGGGGCUGGGGCCCCUCUGCUGAACCCCUACUCGGGAGUGAUGCUUCCUCACCGUCACCCACACAGGCUCCUUUGACACCACAGUGUUUGGUUGUUCCUGGCUUCUUGCCACAGGUUGGGAGAUCUGGGAUCCGGAGGGGCUGCUCCUGAUAAUUGCUCCUCUUAGAACAGACUGAAUGCUGAAGGUCUUGGGGUCUACAAGGGAAGUCCAACUUACUUCACUUGCUUUGUUUUCUCACCUGGACACAGGUGUCAGGUGGAAAGCCCAGGGCAUGAAGGAGUUUCAGGAGACUGGUUGAUGGAAGGUGCUUAGGGGACAUGUGGAAAUUUACACUUGGGAAACCUGAACUGUGCUGGUCCUCACGGCCUCACAUGCCCCACAUUUGUUCCUUUUCCCUGUUAAUUUCCUACUGGCUUAUUUAAUUCAAAGCUGUAAACUGCUCCUGUGCCUUAUCCUCAGUCCCUCUCCCCUAAUCCUGGUCUCUGUCUCCCUGGCUUAGGGAGGUGGGGCAGGGUCUUGAUCAGGACCUGAAACCGGCUCAACUCAAGGUUGGCAUAAGAGAAGCCAUAUUGCAGAAAAGACACCAUGUCGUAGCUUUGAAUGACCUCUGACUGACUAACCCAGCUGGAUUUGCACCCUCCAGGAGAUCCACCUGCUCGUAGAAUUUAUGACCCCUGCUAGUGCAUAUACCUCCCAGCUGCGAUAAGACGAUAACUUCAUUCUUUUGAGUUCCUUAGGAAUGUGAUGACCCCCAAACAGAGAGUCUAUGCUGAUAGCCAUCAUCAAUGACAACUGAAAGAUCUAGUGUGGCAACUCCCAGUCUGUAGCACCAGAGGGUCAAUGUUCCUACCCCCUCCCCUAUAACCCACUGGCCUGUAUAACUGCUUUAAGAUUCUGUGCCCCCUUAAGAUGGUUCUUUUGGAUGUUAGUCAGCCAUCUUCCCUCUUGCUAGUAAGCUGUAAUAAAAUGCCUUUUCUCUGCCGCCAUCUUGCCUCUUGACAAUUGGCUUUUGUCUUGCUGAGAGUAGAUCAUGCCCUUUUGUGCAGUAACAGACCUACAUCUCAAAGAAUUGAGCGUCACAAAGAGGGUGCCAUCAUUUGAUUAUCUUUGCCUUUGGAUAAUGG
This 3549-nucleotide long non-coding RNA is filed under the name Equus caballus (horse). RNAcentral's name for it is "lncRNA (ENSECAG00000058999.1)". The record is from RNAcentral. Lineage: Eukaryota; Metazoa; Chordata; Mammalia; Perissodactyla; Equidae.